ACGGAAGGCAGCAGUGGGGAAUAUUGCACAAUGGGGGAAACCCUGAUGCAGCGACGCCGCGUGAGCGAAGAAGUAUUUCGGUAUGUAAAGCUCUAUCAGCAGGGAAGAAAAUGACGGUACCUGACUAAGAAGCCCCGGCUAACUACGUGCCAGCAGCCGCGGUAAUACGUAGGGGGCAAGCGUUAUCCGGAUUUACUGGGUGUAAAGGGAGCGUAGACGGUCUUGCAAGUCUGAAGUGAAAGAGCGGGGCUCAACCCCGAAACUGCUUUGGAAACUGCGGGACUCGAGUGCCGGAGGGGUAAGCGGAAUUCCUGGUGUAGCGGUGAAAUGCGUAGAUAUCAGGAGGAACACCGGUGGCGAAGGCGGCUUACUGGACGGUAACUGACGUUGAGGCUCGAAGGCGUGGGGAGCAAACAGGAUUAGAUACCCUGGUA
This 434-nucleotide ribosomal RNA is filed under the name uncultured bacterium. RNAcentral's name for it is "partial 16S ribosomal RNA". It matches the Rfam family "Bacterial small subunit ribosomal RNA", at positions 341 to 792 of the family's 1533-position model. The record is from RNAcentral.